This 253-nucleotide ribosomal RNA is filed under the name uncultured bacterium. RNAcentral's name for it is "partial 16S ribosomal RNA". It matches the Rfam family "Bacterial small subunit ribosomal RNA", at positions 524 to 776 of the family's 1533-position model. The record is from RNAcentral.
UACGGGGGAGCAAGCGUUGUUCGGAUUUACUGGGCGUAAAGGGCGCGUAGGCGGUCAGCACAAGUCAGUUGUGAAAUCUCCGGGCUUAACUCGGAAAGGUCAACUGAUACUGUGCGACUAGAGUGCGGAAGGGCAAGCUGGAAUUCUCGGUGUAGCGGUGAAAUGCGUAGAUAUCGAGAGGAACACCUGCGGCGAAGGCGGGUUGCUGGGCCGACACUGACGCUGAUGCGCGAAAGCCAGGGGAGCGAACGGG